RNAcentral lists this long non-coding RNA (396 nucleotides) under Mus musculus (house mouse). RNAcentral describes it as "predicted gene 2814". The record is from RNAcentral. Lineage: Eukaryota; Metazoa; Chordata; Mammalia; Rodentia; Muridae.
CCUUGCAUGGUGUUUCCGUAUUUGUCGGUGGAGACAUGGCCAGUGUCCAGCCUGGAAAGCAGUGAGAGGUGGAACUUUGCACAGAAGUUAGAUCUGGACCCAGGACCAGAAGAGAACGAGGAGCUACUACUCAAGUUCCAGAGUCAGUGGCGAGAGUUUGGAGAUAUGGAAAUGAAAGAAAGAAUGACAGAUGAUGGUGGGACCCUGUACGCAGCCUUGAGACCCUCUGCAAGGCAAUGAGAUAGCUCAGACAGCCACAGAACACUGCAGAAGAUGUGAGACCUGAAGACUGUGAUGAGAUCCACAGAUAACUCUGGAACUCUCAAUACAGCUGUGGGACCAGUAGAUAGUCUUGAGAUACUUCAGAUGACCGUGGAACCAACCAACCAACAACCC